GAGAGCGCACAUGUAACAAGUAAAGAGCGUAUGUGAGGAUGCGUGGUGUGUCCAAUUGCUCAUUGUAUUAGUUUAAUUUCAUUAUUAUUUUAAUUAGUUACGUAGCCUUUAUUCAAUAGGAGAAGAACAUUAUAUUCAUUGUAUAAUUGAAUAUUGUAUAAGAAUUAGUAGAGAAUGAAUCAAUGCGUGUGUGCGUGCGUGUGUGUAUGUGUGUGUGUGUGUAUGCGCGUGCCAUUGUAUCUACGUAGCAGCGGUGUUUACUUCUCAACGUUCAGUUGCGGAGAAUGUUUCGAAGCAAGACGGAGAAAAAUGAAGUUUUAUUCCCUUCUCAACACGUUGCAUUAUUUCUUCGCAAACCUGGAGUAUGUCAUGGCAGAUAAUCAGGUUAACGUUAUGGAAGGACGACGAUAACCUUUACUCGGCUCGAUACGCAAGACGAGAAAAGGUUCUGCCACGAAAUGGGUCUAAAAUCAAUAAUGCAGCUAAUAACAAGCGUCGAAUCCCCUGAAGUGAUGACGUUACAUCCAAUUUAGAGCCUCGCAUGUACGAUACCAAAGCGUGCAGGCUUCUCUUUGUGGGAUUUAAAGGCGAUCGACCAGAAGUAAGAGAGCCAGGAGCCGACCUAAACACAAGUUCAAACUUCAGUUGCAUGAGAAGGAGGAUUCUCCAAUGCACCGUGUGUCUCAACUUCCUUUAAGAUGCGAUCGAGCACAUCCUCGACGAACAACUAGUCUCAGCUUACAGGAUUUAGAAAAGGAUUCGUAAAAGUUUGCGACCUUGACUACAAAUCGACAAAAUCAACCGCCAAGUUUCACGUUCACGUGUGUACGUUAUCGUCGCUUCGCUUGAUCAUUGAAUGGUAGGAACUUCGCAGAUUGUAAAGUGCACUCGGUUGUGUAAUUUGAUGGGGUCGGUUUCCCUUUGUCAAUUGAACAGAAUUUAUGAGUGUAAUGGAACUUAAUUAAAUUGCGACGGAUUUUUAGAUCUUUUUUAAAGAUUUAAUUUGGAGAACAUUCAUUUUCCAAUUGUGUUUUGUCUAUUAUAAAUUAAUAACAAAAUUGCGAAUAAUGUUAAUAUCGAUAUCAAAAUUAAUGAAUAAAUGAAGUAGUU
This 1110-nucleotide unclassified non-coding RNA is filed under the name Bombus terrestris (buff-tailed bumblebee). RNAcentral describes it as "misc RNA ENSBTSG00005029733.1". The record is from RNAcentral. Lineage: Eukaryota; Metazoa; Arthropoda; Insecta; Hymenoptera; Apidae.